This is a long non-coding RNA of Hirundo rustica (Barn swallow), 5396 nucleotides long. RefSeq lists it as uncharacterized. The transcript has 2 exons. The record is from RefSeq and is a predicted model, not a curated record. NCBI's taxonomy places the organism in Eukaryota, Metazoa, Chordata, Aves, Passeriformes, Hirundinidae.
GAGGAGGGAAGCAUGAAGCAGAAGGAUCCUGGGGAGAGAGAAUUGUUGCUGUAAGGGCAGCCUGGAGCUUGUUGCAACCUGCAGUCAUAGUCUAGCUAGGUAAAAGCCUGCAGUCAGAGUCUGCAAACUAAUACCUGCAGUCACAGUUUAGCAGGAAAUAACCAGCAGUCAGAGGCUGCAAGGGAAACCUACAGUAGGAGCUUGCUGCAGCCAGAGUCAGUGAAUAGUUGGAGUGAGCAUGGCUAAUAAACCAAGAGCCUUUUCAUGCUGCGAUGAAAAAGAACUCUGUGCUUGCCUUGGCUCAUUUCUACCCUCUCUAACAAGAGGGCUGCUGCAACAGACCUCUCUGAAGGUGCUAUGGGAAUGAAAAAAUUAUAUGAGAACCCUCUGUACUGGAUGUUCUCUGCACUUUGAGAAAUAGAGUCUGCCUUCUCUGUCCCCACCAUCUGGAACAGCAAUGUGCCUCGUUUGAAAAUGGGUUAGAGAAGAAAGCACAGAGGAUUUGAAAACUGGAGAUGGACUGCUGUCCUGUACAUGUUUUCUGAGGAGUCCAGAAACACCAUGAGGGUACUGACAGGACGAUGUAAGAUACCUUUAACCAAAGGACUUCAACCCCUACCAUAUCAUGCUCUCUUCAUACUCAGACUGGGUACAGUUUUAGCCUGUUGCUGGGUAUAACAAGGAUAGUCAGUAGGGUCUAAUUUCGCUAAUAUGGGUCACUAUGAGGAAUCAAAUCCUUGAGUGGGACAGUCAGUGUCUAGAUGGCGAGAAGAGCUUCUGCUGCACAAGUCCUCAUGGUGGUGUUGGCUAGACCACAUGAGGCCCUGGGACCUGCAUUAUUGCUCAGAUCCUACACACAGCUGUCUCAUGUGCCUUGGGACUGUUCCGGUGCAUGCAUGAUCUAUCCCUGGUGAUUGUCUGGAGCUACAAAACAUCUUCUGCCUCCCUGAAUUGUGUACGUGAGUCUAUUCUGCAUGAUCGUUUUUGCAUCUGCAGGAAGUUUCUUCUGACUAUGGACAAGUGGCUGGCCACUUACAAGUUAUUCGUCAGCAUACUGAAACAUAAACUUGUCUAGGCACAGUGUGUCCUGCCUGGAGGAAUCCACAGAACCAUCCAAAUUCUACACGGAGAGUGCUGUUUAGUCAAAUACUUAAGUGAGAAUGAGAAGUAGAAGUUGAGGUGAUCAGCUUGUCUCCAGUUGGUUGAUGGUUUCAAGUCAAUCUAAUGUAGCAUCUCUGCAGAUGCCUACGUGCAGAGUUUCUGGAUCUCCCAAGGAAAGAGAUGUCCUUCUCUAUGUUAUGAUAACAACAAAUUUAGUCCAUUAUAAAAUUGUCCCUAAAGAGCAAUGAAAUGUCCCUAAUGAAUCAAAAACAGAGGGAAACUAAUGGCACAUGUUCUCACUUCUUACCCUGCUAGAGAGCAUCUGUGAAUCAUAUUAAAAAGUAUGUGCUCCUAUCAUCAAAUGCUAAUAAGUAAUUUUAAAAAUGUCCAAGGACUAAAGCAAGCAUCUGAGAUGCCACUUUGGACAAUAGUGGCAAAACCAGUGUAUGCCUUAAGAGUAAUGUUGAGGUGGUGAAAUAAGAAUGUCUGUCAUACUUUUUCCACUCCAAAGCACACCUAUCUGACAUUCAGAUUAUGAAGCAUUUCUCCAUAUAACCUUAUAAACACGAAGGAGUGUAAAAGGUCAGGAGUGAAAAUUAUUUUCCUGGUUAAAAACACCUCAGGUGAUAUUUGGCUUAGAUGUAACAUUUAUAAUAUUUGCUAAUUUCUCAACAAAAAAGUGGGCUAUCAAGAAAAUAGCAUUUCCAAAGGAGCAGUGUUUAAAAUCUAACCCACAAAUGUAAAUUUAAAAAAAAAACAAACCAAAGCCCCAAGCCCAGGAAUAUGCAGAAGAUUGUAGACAAAACUUUAUAGUUUUAUCCCCACAUUAUGCUAAAACACAAUGACAUUUUUUCAGCUCAGAGUGCAGAGAUUCUAUUACUUAAACUUAACUACUGAGAUGUAAUGUUUCCUCCUUGUAUGCAUUGCAAUCAGGCAGGUGUGCAAGCUUUAGCUUGUCCUUGAGGGUGAUUUGCAUGGCCACAGCAUGGAGCUUUCCCAGUAACUCUGCAGCCUGGGAAGCCCUGUGCUGGAACUCUAGCUAACAGCCACUUGGAGUGAGGGCACAGAUGUGGAUCUGUUACUUUUCAGUAAAUACUUCAGGCCUGAUCCAAACUCCACUAAAGCAAUGAAAGCCACCUCUUGGUGUCAGCAAGCUUUAGGUGAGGUUAUAUAACUCUCACAGUUGCUGCUUUGACUUUGGAUCCUCCCAGUAAUGGUAACCAGUGAGUUGGAAGAGAUUCUGUUCUUAUCUACUAAUGUCAUAAGAGGCUUGUAACUGGGGUCAAGCUCCAAAUAAAUCUCUAAAUCUAUUUUUUAACAAUUCAGAUAUAUUUGGGGCUGCAACAAACUCCCACUGAAGCCUGUGGCAGUUCACUGUCAACUGAAAUAUGAACAGGAAACUUGAUGCUCGUGCUUCUUCCUUUUCAUUGACAAAUGUGACAAGCAGGCUUUCUGCAUCAAGCAGUGUGCUAUUUUAGACAGAGAAGAAUUCUAAUAUAUGUUAAUGAACUCGCCCACACAUAUGCACAUGCUUAAGGCAUAGUUGUCAGAUUGCCCAUUUACUAGGUUAAGAGCAAGAGCUCCUCGAAAGUUAUUUUGUGUUAUUGGAGAUUUGGCAUAUUGUAGUGGGGUGGCAGAAAUGGUUGAGAGUUUGUGGCUGCAAGACAAAGGUUAGCAGAAAGGACACUAACAGCACGUGGAACAAACCAGUUUUUUAUGUCACUGCUGUGCCCGAGUCUGCUAAAGGCUUCAAUGGAUAAAGUUGCAAGUGAAAGUGUUACCCUGAAACGAUCAGCUCUGGGACGCUUUCAUGUCAAAUGCCCGGAAACUGAGUACAUUGGCUUGUUUUAGUUAAUUUAUUUUUCCAGGGAAGCAGCAGCUCAGAGGAGCCACGUUCAUCUAUCCAGCUUAAAGCAUUGCUUUACAUUUCAAAAGGAAUGGCUGAAAGGGUAUCACAAUGUGCAGGUAACAGGUAAUUGUGCCUUGAUCAUGUCACCUGUAACAGGUAUUUUUCUACCAAUGCCUUAGAUGUCUUCUGCUCCUUUCUCUUUGGUAUUCAGUUCUGCCCAGUUGGUCAUCAUAUGAGACCACCCUCUGCAAAAACUUCCUGCACUAAAGUCUUUCCCUGAGUAAAAUCUGACUUUCCUGUUAGAAACCUAGUUAUUUGGGGCUUCAGUGGGAUUUGUGUGGGUUUUGUUGUUGUGUUUGUUUGUUUUUUAGAGAGAUACCCUAUAUCCUCUCUGGAAGAAAGAAUUUCUUUAGUUUGGAUUUUAUCACAAGAGACUUCAUUGAAAAUGUCACUUUAACAUGUAAUUAGCAGGAUCGCUGUCAUUAUUUCUCCUGUAAUAAGGGAAAGAUGUGAAAGAAUUCUUUACCAGUUGCAUAGGAAAAGCAACAAAAGCAACCUGUGGUUUCUGUCCAACUGAUUAUGUGGAUGCUAUGACAGUGGAGCAGUAUGAAUGUAAGUAUGGAUAAAAUUUCAUCCCAUGUUGAGUCCUUCACAAACUAGGUCACUGCAAGCUGCAAUUAAGUUAAAUCAGUGUCAGGAUCUUCUCCUUUGCACAGCACAAGCUGUCAGCAUCCCUUGUAUUGUCUUCUGUGGCAGCUGGGGAGGGCCUCAGUGGAUGUAUGUCAGUCACAUUGACUGAUCGGUUCUCUUGGAAGAAAAACCAACAUAAAACCCCACAGGCUUCUCUAGUGCUGGGAUUUUUACUGCCACCUCAACCCUGGUUUUGCUGGCUCUGAUGUCAAAGUACCUGCUUCUAGUUAUUUUUAUGCUGCUUGUUUAUUUUAAAACAAUGACAUUUUAAAAAAAUAUCAUUCAUCCUAAUGUUUUACAAACCUCUCUACUAUGCAGUGAAACUGGUGCCUGUAAGCAGUUUACUCUGCUCACUCCCAUUAUCUCCUCCCGAGCACUUGGUUGUAUUGUGCUUAAUUAUGAAUGGCCUCCAAGAAGCCCGUUUUACUGUACUAUGAAGUGACUCAUAUCACACAGAAGCUCCGACAACUCGCACUGGGUACUGGAGGCACAUGGUGCUGUAUUAGCCAGUGACUCAUUUCACAUUGUACUCGGUGCUGAGAUCUGACUCACACCGAGCUGUGUGAGAAGCUGACUGACAUUGUACUGGUCUGAAAGCUGGUUUGAAUCGGGAUGACUCACCCUGGAGUUCAUUAAGCGGUGAUUCACACGCUGUUUCCUAUUGAUUCCGACUGUCGCGAUUCACUUCGGAUUGUACUACGCUGGCAUCUGGCUGCUCUGCAGGGCAGGCGCUGUGAUAGAUAGCAACCCUCUGCCUGGUGAGCUCGGCUGUAGCGCCAGCAGGCAGUGUCAGCCAGCAGGAGUAGUACCAAAGUCAAUUUAAUGCUGAACGAAGGGCAGAGUAUGGUUUAGUACACAUUCACUUUGGCCAUGACGCUUUCUGGGCUUCUUUGCUUCACCUGGCUUUGAAAACAGCAAGUGAGGAGUAACGAACCUCUAGCUAAGAAUCCUCCUACUUCUGAAUGCCAGAUCUCCAGAGUAUUUCUGAGACUUGCCGUCUCCUUUGUCACUUUUCUUAGUGAAAAAAAGAUGGGAUGAAUUUCUGUGAGAGACUGAGUACUGAUAGUUGCUGAUAUGCUUCAAGUUCAUCAACAUUUGACCUGAGCUCCAGGAGACACAGGCACCCUGCAGCCUGAAAACUCCUUCCUGGUACUUUAAACUCAGUCCUCAGACAUCACUGCUCACUCUGAAAUAUGUUCACUGCACUAAGCAGGGGGUAGAGAGGCAUGCAACAGCUUAGGUAAUGCUUCUAUGAUUAAAUAUUUGGGACCUACAGUAAAGGUAUCAAAGUAAGUAUUGAUGUGUGGAGGAGAUAAAAAAUUAAAGGCAAAAUAAAGUAACUGUUCUCUCACCUUUGAGUGUUUUAUAAAGCACAGUUUUACAUUCAGUUGGCUCUGAGUUUAGAGAGAUGCUCCUAAUUUCAACAUGACGUUCCUAAUUUUAGGAACCACAACUAGGAAUCUCCUAGCAGAUUAUGAUGCCGGUGUUCCAUUUAGUCGAACUGGUGUACCUCUUCUGGUCCUGUAAUACAGCAGUGGUGUAGCUACCUCCACAGCCCAUAGCUCUGCAGAGCACUGGAUUCGAUGCUGACAUUCUGUUUGUGCAACAGAGGUACAAGGAGAUCCCUUGCCAUUACAUCAUAACGACCAGUGUCAGAUGAAAAGUUAUCGCUUUAUGUUUUUCAACAGCAAAAAUGAAAUAAUGGAACGGUUGCAUCAUGUAAAUUACACUGCAAUUAAAUUACUGUAGGUUCUUA